UGACCUCGUGAUCCACCUGCCUCGGCCUCCCAAAGUGCUGGGAUUACAGGCUUGAGCCACCGCACCCGGCCCAUACCGACUGUUGACAAGAACAUGGAACAACUGGAACUCUCAUACACUCCCAGUGGGAAUGCAAAAUGAUGCAACGUCUUUGGAAAAGCUUGGCCAUUUCCUAAACUCAUCAUAAGAACCAGCAAUUCCACUCCUAGGUACCUGCCCAAGAAAUGAAAACAAAAUAUAUAUAUUUUUUCUUAGGGAUGGGAUCUUGCUCUGUCACCCAGGCUAGAGAGCAUGGUCACAGCUCACUGCAGCCUCACCCUCCCAGGCUCGAGUGAUCCUUCCACCUCAGCCUCUCGAGUAGCUGGGACUACAGGGAGUGACACAAUACCUGGCUGAUUUUUAAAUUAUUUUUUUGUAGAAACAGGGUCUCACUGCGUUGCCCAGGCUGGCUCGAACUGGGUUCCAGCAAUCCUCCCGCCUCAGCCUCCGAAAAUGCUGGGAUUACAAGCAUGAGUCACCAUGCCUGGCCUGAAAACAUCUUCUCUAACACAAAGAUUUGUAUGUGAACGUUCUGUGAGAAGAAUGAGAGCCUGGCGAGUGCAGGCUAGGUUGAGGAGAAGCCACCGGAUAGCACAGAACAGCUUCUGGAGCACCAGGCUUCUGUGGCCAUUUGGAGUGGGAGGUGCAAAAUUGAGCAAAUGCAUAAAACAGAAGAAACGCUGGAAAAGCAAGAAAAGUGCUAGACUCAGAGUCAAGCAGACCCAGUAGAAAACCUGAGAAAAGGACAGCUCAGACUCGAUGGAAGCUUAUUUUUCUCUCAUUGUCAAGAUAUUGGCCGGGCGCGGUGGCUCACACCUGUCGUCCCAGUACUUUGGGAGGCCGAGGUGAGUGAAUUGCUUGAGGUCAGGAGUUCGAGACCAGCCUGACCAACAUGGUGAAACCCCGUCUCUACUAAAAAUACAAAAAAAUUAGCUGAGCGUGGUGGUGGGUGCCUGUAAUCCCAGCUACUCGGGAGGCUGAAUCAGGAGAAUCACUUGAACCGGGGAGGCGGAGGUUGCAGUGAGCUGAAUUGUGCCACUGCACCCCAGCCUGGACAACAGAGCAAGACACCGUCUCAAAAACAAAAACAAAAUCUGUUUAGAGGGUGCCAGGGCUUGUAUGACAAGGAGUGUCACAGUGUCAGGAACCUGGGCUCCCUUUACUCCUUUUAUCCUGUGGCUCUGCCAUACGUAGUUUUAUUUUUUUUCUUUUUGUUUGUUGUUGUUUUUUGAGAUGGAGUUUUGCUCUGUUGCCCAGGCUGGAGUGCAGUGGCGCAAUCUUGGCUCACUGCAACCUCCGCCUCCCGGGUUCAAGUGAUUCUCCUGCCUCAGCCUCCAGAGUAGCUGGGACUACAAGUGCAUGCCACCACACCUGGCUAAUUUUUUGUCUUUUUAGUAGAGACAGGGUUUCACCAUGUUGGCCAGGCUGGUCUCCAACUCCUGACCUCACGUGAUCCACCCUCCUCAGCUUCCCAAAGUACUGGGAUUACAGGCAGGAGUCACUGUGCCUGGCCUCUUUUUUUCCUUUUUUUUAGAGACAGAAUCUGGCUUUGUGGCCCAGGCUUGAGUGCAGUGCUGAGACAGGAGAAUAAGACCUGGAGGCAGGGAACCUGAGGACUUCCCAGAACUAAAUCAAAUGGAGAGGAGAGAGGAGGCACUUCAGCCACAACAGGAAAUAUCCUCUUCAUUUACAUAGGGUGUUCACCAAGUACAUGACUUUGUAACUUCAUCCUCUUCAUUUACAUAGGGUGUACACACAGUAAAUAGCUUUGUAACUUCACUUUGGUAACUCACUUUAAGCCUCUUCAUUUACAUA
This is a long non-coding RNA of Macaca mulatta (Rhesus monkey), 1854 nucleotides long. Lineage: Eukaryota; Metazoa; Chordata; Mammalia; Primates; Cercopithecidae. The record is from Ensembl.